Molecule: long non-coding RNA, 710 nt
Filed under: Strigops habroptila (Kakapo)
Lineage: Eukaryota; Metazoa; Chordata; Aves; Psittaciformes; Psittacidae
Description: lncRNA (ENSSHBG00005013097.1)
Source: RNAcentral
GAGAAAACAAGAAAAGAGAAGCGAAAUCAGUGUGAAAGGGUGCAGAGGGAUGAUGUGUGUGGAACUGCUGUGAUCGUAUCACAGAACUCACGUUUGCUGCCUUCUUUUCCUGGAAAUACUGAACCUGACUCAUCGUUUCUGCCUGCUGGGGCUGAAGGCACCGGUGGCUCCAGCAGCCAGGAACAACUCUCCAGAAGGAAGGUGUCUUACCUGGGAGAAAGGGCAAUAAAACAGUGAAUAGAUUCAUCCCUCUGUGCCCUGUAUUGCUGAGGACUUUGCCGGUACAGCUGCAAACAUGAGAUUCCAUGAGCAGGCUGGUUUUGUCCUUAUUUUUAGUGCUUGUUCCCCCCGAGGAAUGUUCUGCUGCACAAGUCAUUCCUGGUGCUACUUCUGAGAGUGAGUGGGGCUCUUCUCCCAGCAUGGUAGUGCCAAAAUCCCCCUCCACCACCAGCAGCAGCCCAUUAGAAUCAUAGAAUAGAAUCAUAGAAUGGUUUGGGUUGGAAAGGACCUGAAGAUCAUCUGAAGAUCAUCCUGCCACGGGCAGGGACACUUUCCACUAGAGCAGGUUGCUCCAAGCCCCGUCCAACCUGGCCUUGAACACUGCCAGGGAUGGGGCAGCCGGCGCCUCAGCACCCUCACAGGGAAGAACUUCCUUGUUUCUAACCUAAAUAUCCCGUUUAAGUUUGAACAUAAACAAAGCUUUCUAUUCC